Non-coding RNA from Hydra vulgaris (swiftwater hydra), 1909 nucleotides. The record is from RefSeq and is a predicted model, not a curated record. Lineage: Eukaryota; Metazoa; Cnidaria; Hydrozoa; Anthoathecata; Hydridae.
UGACUGGCGUUUGGAACCAACCCGCUACUUAAAAUGGAAGAUUCGAGGGUUCCAAAAUAACUGUUUUGAAAAAUGUUUAUCAUCAGAAACACUCUCAACGGAAGAACUCAAUGAUGCAGAAACAAAAUUAAUUAUUAAUGCUCAAAAGAGAACAUACACGAAAGAGUACAAUCAAUUGAUAAAUAAUAAAGGAAUUUCAAAAACUAGUUGUUUAUUAAAAUUAUUGCCACGAAUAGAUGAAAAUAAAAUGUUUAGAUGCGACAGUCAAUUAAAAAAUGCUGAGUUUCUUUCAUUCAAUACACAAUACCCAAUUAUUUUACCAAGGCAUAACCACAUAACCAAGUUGAUCGUAAAAGAUUGUCACGAAGCAGGACAGCAUAUAUGGGGUGUAAAUCAUAUCUUGCCGGAGUUGUCUACAAAGUAUUGGGUAGUAUCUGGAAUUGAAGAGAUAAAAAAUGGGAAGCGGAGUGUGCAGAAUGCAAGCGAAGAAAAUAAAAUCAGCAACGCAGAUAAUGGCACCAUUAUCAACAAAACGUUUGCAGUUUAGUAUGAAGGCCUUUGAAAGGUGUGCUGUUGAUUAUGGUGGUCCGUUUAUAACCAUUCAAAGAAGAGGGAAAAGACGGGCAAAACGUUAUUUAGCCUUGCUUACUUGCUUGUCUUCACGAGCAGUUUACCGUGAAGUAGCGUUUGCGUUGGACGCCAACUCAAUUCUAAAUGCGUUUUUUAGGAUGAGCAGUCAAAAAGAAAUGCUAAAUGAAAUGAUAUUUGACAAUGAAGGUAACUUUGUGUUAGCAAACAAAUAACUACGAAGUUUCACUGAUGGCGAAAAGAAAAGAAUAAACGAGGCAACAAGCCGUGUUGGUAUUAAAUGGCAUUUUAACCCACCAGCAGCCCCUCAUUUUGGAGGAGUUCAUGAAAUUAUGAUAAAAGCCGCAAAACGAGCAAUUUAUUUCCAACUGGGAAAUGCGGAUAUUACUGACAAAGAACUUAUUAUAGCGUUUGCCGGGGCAGAAGGACUUAUAAACUUACAACCAUUAACUUAUCAAUUGAGUGGUCCUGAAGACUGCACUUCCCUUACACCAUUUAAUUAUAAACUAUAUAAAGGAUAUAAAAAUAACAGUAACCUUAAUACCAUUACAAAUAAAUAUUUUUUUAUCAAACCAAAUUUUCUUUAAAAUCAGAUCAUGCCUAGAGUUUCAAAAGGAAAAAGGAAAACUUCACAUGCAUCAGAAAACAUUUUGUAAAUUGCUGUAGCAGAAGUAAAAAAUGAGAUAAGCUUCAGAGAAGCAACAUACUCAGCUAGCAUUUCUAAGUCUUCACUUCAUAGAUAUUGCUAGACGUGGACGUAAAAAGAAAAAGUGUAUGAUAGCCACAUCAACACCAGAAAAUUUAAAAGUAAGAGAUGAAGUAUUAUACAAAAAAAAAAAGGUAAAAAAACUUUCAAAAUCAAAGAUAGUGAAGAAAAAUGUAUUACGCAAAUCAAGCAGUAACCUUAAUUUUGAUGUCAACAAAAUAACAAAUGGUGUUUCUGCUAACUACUGCUCGCUAGAGUUUGAAGAAGAAUUGGAAACCAUUUCAUUUGGCGUUAUUAAAAAUGUGAGUAUCAAUGAUUUUGUUCUUUGUGAGGUUUGUAGUAAAAACACUACUUCUUAUUAUGUAGAAAGAAAAAGAAAAAGAUUUUGAUGUAGAUGUCAGCUUCCUAAAAUGCCAAAAUAUAGAAACUUGUAAAUUUGUCAAACCUAGAAUUAAUGACAUUUGCAGUAAGAAUAUUAGUGAUGAAAAAGCAGUCCUGCCUCAACCAUUUACUGGAAAAACAUCAAGAACAAAAGCUGAAAUUAUUUUCCAAGUGAAGUUUGACGUAUUAAAUGUGUAAUAACUUUUUUCUUUUUUUAACAAAGAAAUUCACCCA